This 395-nucleotide ribosomal RNA is filed under the name uncultured bacterium. RNAcentral's name for it is "bacterial SSU rRNA". It matches the Rfam family "Bacterial small subunit ribosomal RNA", at positions 64 to 507 of the family's 1533-position model. The record is from RNAcentral.
GAGCGCCCCGCAAGGGGAGCGGCAGACGGGAGAGUAACACGUGGGAACGUACCCUUCGGUUCGGAACAACCCAGGGAAACUUGGGCUAAUACCGGAUACGUCCGUAAGGAGAAAGAUUUAUCGCUGAAGGAUCGGCCCGCGUCUGAUUAGCUUGUUGGUGAGGUAACGGCUCACCAAGGCGACGAUCAGUAGCUGGUCUGAGAGGAUGAUCAGCCUCACUGGGACUGAGACACGGCCCAGACUCCUACGGGAGGCAGCAGUGGGGAAUAUUGGACAAUGGGCGCAAGCCUGAUCCAGCCAUGCCGCGUGGGUGAUGAAGGCCUUAGGGUUGUAAAGCCCUUUCGGCGGGGAAGAUAAUGACGGUACCCGCAGAAGAAGCCCCGGCUAACUUCGUG